GGGCCUAUGGCGCAAUGGUUAGCGCAGAGGACUCAUAAUCCUUUGGUUCACAGUUCGAGUCUGUGUAGGCCCACCA
Molecule: transfer RNA, 76 nt
Filed under: Thiothrix lacustris
Lineage: Bacteria; Pseudomonadati; Pseudomonadota; Gammaproteobacteria; Thiotrichales; Thiotrichaceae
Description: tRNA-Met
Rfam family: tRNA
About the family: Transfer RNA (tRNA) molecules are approximately 80 nucleotides in length.
Source: RNAcentral